Molecule: ribosomal RNA, 357 nt
Filed under: Streptococcus agalactiae
Lineage: Bacteria; Bacillati; Bacillota; Bacilli; Lactobacillales; Streptococcaceae
Description: bacterial SSU rRNA
Rfam family: Bacterial small subunit ribosomal RNA
Source: RNAcentral
CUGAUGAGUUGCGAACGGGUGAGUAACGCGUAGGUAACCUGCCUCAUAGCGGGGGAUAACUAUUGGAAACGAUAGCUAAUACCGCAUAAGAGUAAUUAACACAUGUUAGUUAUUUAAAAGGAGCAAUUGCUUCACUGUGAGAUGGACCUGCGUUGUAUUAGCUAGUUGGUGAGGUAAAGGCUCACCAAGGCGACGAUACAUAGCCGACCUGAGAGGGUGAUCGGCCACACUGGGACUGAGACACGGCCCAGACUCCUACGGGAGGCAGCAGUAGGGAAUCUUCGGCAAUGGACGGAAGUCUGACCGAGCAACGCCGCGUGAGUGAAGAAGGUUUUCGGAUCGUAAAGCUCUGUUGUU